GACGAACCGUCCAAACGUUGUUCGGAAUCACUGGGCUUAAAGGGCGCGUAGGCGGAUGCUCAAGUCGGUGGUGAAAUCUUUCGGCUCAACCGGAAAACAGCCGCCGAUACUGGGUAUCUCGAGGGAGGUAGGGGUCGAGGGAACUUCCGGUGGAGCGGUGAAAUGCGUAGAUAUCGGAAGGAACGCCGGUGGCGAAAGCGCUCGACUGGACCUCUUCUGACGCUGAGGCGCGAAAGCCAGGGGAGCAAACGGG
This 253-nucleotide ribosomal RNA is filed under the name uncultured bacterium. RNAcentral's name for it is "partial 16S ribosomal RNA". It matches the Rfam family "Bacterial small subunit ribosomal RNA", at positions 524 to 776 of the family's 1533-position model. The record is from RNAcentral.